This 41-nucleotide ribosomal RNA is filed under the name Pyrrhoderma noxium. Its description in RNAcentral is "partial 28S ribosomal RNA". Lineage: Eukaryota; Fungi; Basidiomycota; Agaricomycetes; Hymenochaetales; Hymenochaetaceae. The record is from RNAcentral.
GGCCUCAAAUCAGGUAGGACUACCCGCUGAACUUAAGCAUA